RNAcentral lists this ribosomal RNA (439 nucleotides) under uncultured bacterium. RNAcentral describes it as "partial 16S ribosomal RNA". It matches the Rfam family "Bacterial small subunit ribosomal RNA", at positions 339 to 795 of the family's 1533-position model. The record is from RNAcentral.
CUACGGGGCGCUGCAGUAGGGAAUCUUAGACAAUGGGGGAAACCCUGAUCUAGCCAUGCCGCGUGAGUGAUGAAGGCCUUAGGGUUGUAAAGCUCUUUCGCUGGGGAAGAUAAUGACGGUACCCAGUAAAGAAACCCCGGCUAACUCCGUGCCAGCAGCCGCGGUAAUACGGAGGGGGUUAGCGUUGUUCGGAAUUACUGGGCGUAAAGCGCGCGUAGGCGGGCUAUUAAGUCAGGGGUGAAAUCCCGGGGCUCAACCCCGGAACUGCCUUUGAUACUGGUAGUCUUGAGUUCGAGAGAGGUGAGUGGAAUUCCGAGUGUAGAGGUGAAAUUCGUAGAUAUUCGGAGGAGCAUCAGUGGCGAAGGCGACUCACUGGCUCGAUACUGACGCUGAGGUGCGAAAGUGUGGGGAGCAAACAGGAUUAGAUACCCGUGUAGUC